AUUGAACGCUGGCGGCAGGCCUAACACAUGCAAGUCGAGCGAGCGGCGGACGGGUGAGUAAGGAAUGGGAAACUGCCUGAUGGAGGGGGAUAACAACUGGAAACGGUAGCUAAUACCGCAUACCAUCAGAUGUGCCCAGAUGGGAUUAGCUAGUAGGUGGGGUAAUGGCUCACCUAGGCGACGAUCCCUAGCUGGUCUGAGAGGAUGACCAGCCACACUGUAACGGAGACACGGCCCAGACUCCUACGUGAGGCAGCAUUGGGGAAUAUUGCACAAUUGGCGCAAGCCUGAUGCAGCCAUGCCGCGUGUGUGAAGGAGGCCUUCGGGUUGUAAAGCACUUUCAGCGGGGAGGCGUUACCCGCAGAAGAAGCACCGGCUAACUCCGUGCCAGCAGCCGCGGUAAUAC
Molecule: ribosomal RNA, 406 nt
Filed under: uncultured bacterium
Lineage: Bacteria
Description: partial 16S ribosomal RNA
Rfam family: Bacterial small subunit ribosomal RNA
Source: RNAcentral